Long non-coding RNA from Alexandromys fortis (reed vole), 2527 nucleotides. RefSeq lists it as uncharacterized. The record is from RefSeq and is a predicted model, not a curated record. Lineage: Eukaryota; Metazoa; Chordata; Mammalia; Rodentia; Cricetidae. The transcript is spliced from 2 exons.
GUAUUUGGGUUGAGAUAGUGUUGGAGUAUGUUUCUCCAGGGUUCAUAAGUAAAAGAUUAAAGUUUCAUGCCUAAUCUUCACGGUGAGAUAAAAAGGUGGAGACUCAGGUCUGCGAGAAGGCCCUGCUAGGGAAGGUUCUUAGUGUUAAACCUGAUACCCAGAGUUCCAUCCACAAGCCCACAUUACAGAAGGAAAGAACAGACUCCCUCGAGCUGUCCUGUGACUUCCGCAUGCCCCUUAUUUUUUCCUUAGUUGAAAAGUCAAAGCCAGUGCCUUGGUGGUGCACACUUUUAAUCCCAGCACUUGGGAGGCAGAGGCAAGUUGAUCUCUGUGAGUUCAAGGCCAGCCUGGUCUGCACAAGGCCAGCCUGAUCUACAAAGCAAGUUCCAGGACAGUCAGGGCUUUUAUACAGAGAAACCCUGUCUUGAAACCAUUCCCCUCCCCGCACAAAAAAAAGAAAAGAAAAAAGAAAAAAGAAAAAAAAAAUGAGGCUUGGGCCUCUGGCUCCAGAUCAUGCCUGAAGAAGCAUAAGCCAAUGUGUGCCUUUCGGGAUGACCCAUUAGGAUGACAGAGGGCUCUCCAUCACUUGGGCCCCUCCUCUUCUGUAAGUGGUAGAUAGAAGUCUUGGCCUUAUAUCGGUCGGACAGGAUGGAUGUAGAACCUCUGGCCUUUACAACUGAUCCCAACAAUGAGGUAGAGACAAAUAAAUUAUUGGUGCUGUUGCUUGGUUUUGAGACAGGGUCUUUCCACCUCAGCCUGGUUGUCCUGGAACUCACCGUGUAGUUCUGGUUGGCCUCAACUCAGGGAUCCACCUGCCUUUGCUUCCCGAAUACUAAAAUUAAAAGUGUUCGCCACCAUGACCAGCUCCAAAUAAAAGCUCUGCAAUUGCUGUUGUUCGUGUAUCUGGAGUGUAUGUGUGCGCAUAUGUGGGGAAGUCUCAGAACAACUUUUUGGAGCUCUCUCCUUCCAUCUUUGUGUGGGUUUCAUGCAUCAACUUCAGGUUGUUAGGUUUGAAUGCCUUUACUCACCAGGGCAUCUUGCUGCUGCUACCACCCCAUUCUGAAGUAGCCCAGGCUGCCUUGAACUCCCCAUCCUCCUGCCUCUGCCUCCCAAGCACUAGGGUUACAGGCCCCUGCCACCAUGCCUGGCUUAAAAUAUUUUUAUUUUUAUUCACUUAUUUGUUUGUUUGCUCAUUCAAGACAGGCUUUCUCUGUGUAGCCCUGGCUGUCCUAGAACUUGCUCUGUAGACCAGGCUGGCCUGGAACUCAGAGAUCUACCAGCUUCUGCCUUUCCAAGUGCUGGGAUUGAAGGCAUGCACCACCACUACCCAGUUUAAAAAUCUCGUUCAUAAACCGGGCAGUGGUGGCGCACGCCUUUAAUCCCAGCACUUGGGAGGCAGAGGCAGGCGGAUCUCUGUGAGUUCGAGACCAGCCUGGUCUACAAGAGCUAGUUCCAGGACAGGAACCAAAACCACAGAGAAACCCUGUCUCGAAAAACCAAAAAAAAAAAAAAAAAAAAAAACUCGUUCAUAAAUUGUUUUUUUUUUUUUUUCUUACAAAGCUAGGCACCCUGCUCUACUAGAUGACGCAACAAACCCCGGGAGGGAAAGAAUCACUUGCCAACCAAUAUCAGCCAGACCUCAGCACCCAGAGUGGGGACAGAGCCAUGGGUGCCUUUGUCACUGCAACCCCAGGACCCAGCACGGGACUGGGUCUGACAUCUGUAGACACCUGGGAAGAUGUUCACUGAUUGAGAAGAAGGAGGUUCCCACCGCUUGGUGAGCAAGAGGGAGGGGUAGCCCAUACUCGGUGACUGUGAGGGGAGCCAGGUGCUCCCAGGCAUGAUGGGGUCACCAGGAGGUGCUGGCAAGGCUUUACGAAGGAGGAGACUCAUCCAGACCUCAAAGGUCUGUCCAGCCACAGAAGAGAAGACAGGGUACAAAACACGGGCAGAGACCAACACAGCCCCUGGGUCACUGGCAAGACCAGCUGCUUACUGACAUUCUGUGCUUGCAUAUACGUACCCAAGGUUUGCAGGAACUACCUUUUAGUAAUUUUUCAUUCCUUUUCUUUAAAUAGCCUUUUAUUAAAUAAUAAUAAUAAUAAUAACACACACUAAAUGAAACUUAGGGACUGAAGUGAUAUCUCAUUAGUUAAGAACACUGGCUGUGCCAGGCGGUGGUGGCAGAUGCCUUUAAUCCCAGUGCUGUGGGACAAUGUUUUUACCCUGGAAAGAUGUGUUUCUUGUACUAGUUUAAUAAAAUGCUGAUUGGCUAGUAACCAGGCAGGAAGUAGAGGUGGUGCAACAAGAACAGGAGAAUUCUGGGAAGAGGAAAGUCAGUCUGAAGUCAUGAUCCAGAGACUGAGGAAGCAAGAUGUGACUGUCUUGCCGAAAAAGGUACCAAGCCAUGUGGUUAACACAGACAAGUAUUAUGGGUUAAUAUAAGUUGUAAGAGUUAAUAAGAAGCCUGAGCUACUAGGCCAAUCAGUUUAUAAUAGUGAGUUUCUCUGUAGCUUUGGAGCCUGUC